Molecule: long non-coding RNA, 702 nt
Filed under: Gallus gallus (chicken)
Lineage: Eukaryota; Metazoa; Chordata; Aves; Galliformes; Phasianidae
Source: RNAcentral
GUCCAGUUUCUGUAGCAAUUCUCUCUCUUUCUUGAUCUGGUGAUCUUCUAAAUGCAGAGCCACAAACAGUCUGUGAACCAAGGAUUUGAUAUCUUCCAUUUCAGUAGCAUGCUCACUACUCAGCUUAUCUUUUAUAGGAGCUGACACACUGUAUGUUGUGUUGUUGAUAACAAGUUUAAAGUCAUUCAUCAGUAAGACCUCCAUCAAGGUUGCAUCAGAGACCUUGCUACCAUCUGUUGCAAAGACUUCUGCUCUCACAAUUCCUUUAUCUUCUCUCUGUAUAUCCUGCAGAAAUGCCCCCACUGUGGCUACCACUGGUUUAACAGCAAACUGACAGCGUUCUCUUCUUGUAGGCAACGUCAGAGUUAUCACGGGAAGACCAUGCCUGUAAUUAAUAGUCACUUCGUCAGAGGGCACCAGCAUGCUGUAGGAGGCUCCUUCCUGGCGUGCCCAGGUCCUGUUGUGCCUCCAGAGCUGCACCUGAGGCUCCGAGAGGGGCGGGCGACCAUCCCGUCUGCCCCGCGCCGCCCGGCCGCCCACCAGCAGCCCGAGCCGCCCGUCGCUCGGCGGCAGGCUCCGCACAGCCCGCCCCAGUCCCGCCAGCAUCGCCCCAGACCUCCUUCUCCGGCUUCGGCUCGGGGCGGGCGUGGGCGAGCCCGAGCGGAGGGCGUUUCCUCCGGCGGUGUGUGCGGAGCUGUUCCU